UGCCGAGGGACCGUCCACAAAGUGCAUGCGCGCAGGGGAAACGAAGUUCAUCGACUCACACCGUGCCCGGGUAGUUUCGGUUUCGCACUGCAGUCACACCCGAGACUCCGGACCACAGCCCACACCAAGAAAGAAGUGGCAGCCAAUCACACAGAGCGUACUCUCAAUCGGAAACAACCGUCUGCCUGGAGGACUGCAUUGGGGGACUCACCCAGAGCAGAGUAACCAAUUGACCUCAUCUCCAUAUUUUUGGAAUGUGGCAUGAAACCAGAAUUUGUGGAGGAAACCCACACAGACACAAGGAGAACAUGGAGGCUCCACCCAGAUAAGAACUGGAACCCAGAACUUUUGAGAAAUUCUGAGAGGCAAACCUGCUAAUCACCAAGCCAGCAUGCACCUUGAAUAACAGCAAACUCAAGUUGCAUUACUCAAUACAUUCAAAAAUUAUUGGUGUUGUUUACGCUGCAGACUGUGCUUAUGUGAUCUUACAACAUUGGAGGCAGAGCAAAGUUGAUUGCAGCCAAGCAUCAAAAAAGACCUUUAAGGAUUUAAAUUUUGGAUCUUAAUUUAUCACGUUACACAUUAGUUUUGGGAUCUUUUUUGCACUUUUUAGGAACAUUACCCCUCUAACAAAUACCUAACAAGCCAACCUGUAAGCCAAUGGGAGACUGUGCAUGUCUACAUAUGUGUGUGUGUCCUAGUACGUGUGACCUUGAGAUCUGAAGCCAGAAUGGGUGGGAAGGACUUAAAAGUGAACAUCUUCGUCAACUACUGGAAGCAACUGGCCCGCAGUUUUGCUCUGCUGGCCCACAGCUGCGUUCUGCUGGCCCAUUACACCACACUGUUUUCUGGCUGUGUGUUCCGCUCUGUCCGCUGCUUCGUGGAAGUGGUGAGGUGGACGUCUGUUGUGGCACAGGGGACAGUCUCAGCCUUCGAAUCCGUCCACCGGCACCUGUACAGGUGGACCUGGAGCGGAAGACGUGGAGGCAGUGUUGCCAAGGACACGCUCUCCAGCAGUGGGACGGAGUCGGACUGAUGGCUGCUAAAAUAAGAUUUCAAUCUGAAUUCAAAAUUGCAUUCAGACAUGUGGGUUCAAAGGUCAUGGUUUUAAAGGAGUGAUAUAUAGUAAAUGCAGGGAUAAAUUUAACAGACAUGUGCUGUAUUAGUAGCAAAGUCUAUAUAUAGGCUUAUAAGGUGGUAUUAAUAUAAAAUGUGUAUUUAGAUUAAAGGCAAAACAACAUAAUGGAUAAUUAAGUAAUAUUAGUAAGAGUAAUAUAAAUGCUAUUGGGUGAAAUUUGGGCCAAACAGUGGGUAUAAUAAAAAGUGUAAUGCUGAUACAGUUUAAAAGCGUGAUAUAAACACAAUGCAGCACAUAGGUUGUCAGAUUGACACACUGUAUAUGGUAGAUAAAAGAAAGAAAAUAGCACUGUUAAGGAGGUUUUAAUAUGAGUUGUAUAUUUAACCUAAUGAGAAAAUAUAAUGUUUCAAUAUAAGAAAUAAUAUAAUGCUGAUAUUGUAAAAAAAUGCUAUAAGAUAAUUUGAUACAGGGUGUCAGAUGGAUUCCUUAGAAAGGAAAAACAGACUUCUGAGGAGGUUUUAAUGGAUUAUGUAUUCAAACUAAAGAGAAUAGAUCCUAAUGUUUGAAUAUAAAAAAAUGUUGUAAUGCUAAAAAUGCAACAAAAAAAAGAGCAUGGCGUGUCGGAUCAACCAUUUCUUCAUUUAUAGUUGAAGGCAAAAAAUAUAUAUAGACUUUUUAAAGGUGAUUUUAUAUGAAUUGUGUAUUUAGAUGAACAGUUAAAGGUCAGGCAGGUGAAAAUAUAACUAAAGGGUAAAUGUUAAAGGGCCAGUUUCUCAGACAUUGGAGUGUUUAAAGAAAAGGAAAAUCAUUUUUUAGGCCUUUUAACAGGUUUUUAAUAUGAAUUCUAUAUUCAGACUGAUGAGAAAAGGUCAUUAUAAUAUAAUAAGUGAAGUAAUGCUGAUAUAGUCUAAAAGAGUGAUUUAAAUACACAAAAAAUGCCAGUUUAUAGCAUGAGUCUAUAGCAUGGGUUGACAUAUUAACUCCUUGUUUAAUAUGUAAUACAUGGAAGAAAGGAAAGUAAAGCUUUAAAGGAGGUUUUAAUGGCCUUAUGUACAUUUUAUUGCACAGCUUCCUGGAUAUCAAGUGUGUCUCACAUCCACACUGUGUUCUAUAUAUGCAGUAAAUCCCAGCAGCAUUCGACUGGACUGUGUUAUAUCUAAUCAAGGGUGUUUUGUCAGUGAUUAAGAUAAAUAACAUAAUAUACACAGUUUAAUACAUAAUGAAUGGAUGUUUAAAUGAUGCGAGUUCAGUGCAUUUCUAUUUGUUAGAGUGAAUCUGAUUGACCAGAUUGCACAAAUAACAAGUGUGCAUGAUCCUAACAUUAUAGUUAUUUUAUUACUAACUCUUCUUAGCUUGUUUUACCUAGCUUGUUUAUAAUUAAAAAUCAAACUGCAGUAUAGAAAACUAUCAAUUUUAUUUACUAUCAAUGUCUUUUGAGUUUGUAUGGAAUGAAGGAAUGAUGAUGUUGGUAAAUUUAUUUAAAAUCUGAACAAAUACAGUGUUAAAUAUUGUAAUGCGACAUAUUAUAAGUAAUUAAAUAGUUAACUUUUUUAGCUGAAUCAGUCAAAUCAGUUGAAUUGCCUACAUUUUAUAUAAAAACAUUAAAUGUGGGACUUCUGAGAAGCAGUAUGAAGGACAGAAAAAGUGUGGCAUUUUAAAUUCAGAGUUUCCUAUUUAAUUUAUUUUUGGAUGCUCUUUUUUUUCAAAGGUUUGAUGUACAGAGGUUAUAUAAAGAUUUCCGGUCCAAUGUUCAGCUGUGUAAAUAUCUGCUCCUGGUUGUGUUUAACCAAACUAACACUUGACUGUUAUAUAUAUAUACGACGCAGGGCUAACACAGGGCUAAAUAAUUGUUCUUGCAUCAUGUUGAUCUUUAGAAGUGGCAAAGGUAAUCAGGGGAAAUACUGUUGGAUGUGCGCUUUUAAGACUGGCAGAUGUGGACAGACUUUAGUGUGCCAGCAAAAAAAGAUAAGACACAAAAACAAAUGAUGACAUUAUGGCAGCAGAAAAGUACACACCUAAAUACAACAGUAAUUUCAAAAUGCUUAGCUCUGGGACGGUUGUGAAAAAAGCUAGUCUUGAGCCCUGUGUUGGCAUUAUUAUACACUAUAUACAGUUAAACAUGUUGAGUAAAUAUAUGUUAUAACUGUGAUAUAACUAGGUAACACAAUACAGAAUCAUGCAUUAAGAGCAUUUUCAUAACAACUGUGUUUAGAUCUGAUUUACUAUCAUUCAUAUUUUUUACUAUUUUUAUUGGUGUUUUUGCUUGUUUUGCAUUUUUCUAAUUACCAUUUUUCUUUUAUUACUGUCAUUCUUGCUUUUAUCGGCUAUUUUAUUAACUCUUAUCUAAUUAUUUUACAUAUAUAUGUUUUUAUUAUAAUGUAUACUUACUAUUUCCAGUCCCUUCCGUAUAAUGUUGAUAAUCUGCUAAAUAGGUGAAAGAAAAGUAACGAAUUUAAGAUUUUUUUAGAACCACUCUCAUCUUCUGUAGUAUUGACAAUCAUACAUAUACAUAUACUUAUUUUAUCAUCUGAAGUUAUAAAUGUAAAACCACUUCAAAAUAAGCACUGUUUACAGUAUGUUAUUUGUACUUAAUGAGAGUCUAUGCAACAUUUCUGAUGAUUUGCAUGUUUUCUGCAGCUAAUUUUUAAUGUGUUGUUUAUGCACUGCUCUGUUUCAACAUAUACUCUUCCAGUCAGUUUGACCCAGUAGGGACAAUAAAGGUAAAUGGUAAAUAUGUAGACAGUAACUGAAGCCAUCCUUUAAUAAAUACAAAUAUUAGUUAAUACAAAUAUAUUAUUGUAAAUUAUUACAAAUCAUUACAAAACCAUGAUCCGUGGUGGAUUUCCCUAAAUAUUAAUUUCAUUUGUUUAUGAGGCAAAGAUCAAUGGAAUUUGGAAUGGAAUGGUUUAUGGAAAGAAUAAUUUUUGUACCUACUUUACUGUCUGUGUGUGUGUGUGUGUGUGUGUUUAAACCCACCAUUUACCCUGAGGGGAGGGAGUUUUAUCAUCUGACGAUGUUCUGACUACAGAUCCAUGGAUUAAUCACUGUAUUUAUUGUAGUAUAUACUGUAGCAUUGUAUAUUGUGAAAAUGACUGAAUGUGAUAAAACUUCUAAAUAAACUCAUAUGUGCAUUAAUA
This is a long non-coding RNA of Astyanax mexicanus (Mexican tetra), 4215 nucleotides long. RefSeq lists it as uncharacterized. NCBI's taxonomy places the organism in Eukaryota, Metazoa, Chordata, Actinopteri, Characiformes, Acestrorhamphidae. The record is from RefSeq and is a predicted model, not a curated record. The transcript has 2 exons.